CACGUAGGGGGCAAGCGUUGUCCGGAAUUAUUGGGCGUAAAGAGCUCGUAGGCGGUCUGUCACGUCGGCUGUGAAAACCCGAGGCUCAACCUCGGGCCUGCAGUCGAUACGGGCAAACUAGAGUACUGCAGGGGAGACUGGAAUUCCUGGUGUAGCGGUGAAAUGCGCAGAUAUCAGGAGGAACACCGGUGGCGAAGGCGGGUCUCUGGGCAGUAACUGACGCUGAGGAGCGAAAGCGUGGGGAGCGAACAGG
Molecule: ribosomal RNA, 253 nt
Filed under: uncultured bacterium
Lineage: Bacteria
Description: partial 16S ribosomal RNA
Rfam family: Bacterial small subunit ribosomal RNA
Source: RNAcentral